UCCGAGUUGACCCCGGCAGUCUCCCAUGAGUCCCCACCAUUACGUGCUGGCAACAUGGAACGAGGGUUGCGCUCGUUGCGGGACUUAACCCAACAUCUCACGACACGAGCUGACGACAACCAUGCACCACCUGUACACCGCCCUUGCGGACCCCGUAUCUCUACGAGUUUUCGGUGUAUGUCAAACCCAGGUAAGGUUCUUCGCGUUGCAUCGAAUUAAUCCACAUGCUCCGCCGCUUGUGCGGGCCCCCGUCAAUUCCUUUGAGUUUUAGUCUUGCGACCGUACUCCCCAGGCGGAGUGCUUAAUGCGUUAGCUGCGGCACAGAGCGGGUUGAAGACCGCCCCACACCUAGCACUCAACGUUUACGGCUGGGACUGC
Molecule: unclassified non-coding RNA, 378 nt
Filed under: uncultured Actinomycetes bacterium
Lineage: Bacteria; Bacillati; Actinomycetota; Actinomycetes
Description: uncultured actinobacterium contains 16S-23S intergenic spacer region
Source: RNAcentral